AAGGUGUAAGGAGUCAUCGGAGAAAUUGUAGUGAAAAGAAUGACACCAUUAUGAAUUAGUACAAGUGAGGGGGCAAAUGAGUAAUUGGCAAAAAAUUGGCAAAAAUUAUAUGUGUGGAUAUAUUAAAGUAGGGUCAUGCUAACUAGUACCCCGGGGCACUAGUUAAGGAUACGUAAAAUUAUAUUGAAACUUGCAUUAAAGUAUAGCAAAAGGGAAAAAGAAGUGCACAGAACCAUUCAUCUUCUUCUUUCUUGCGUGAGCUCUUUCUCUUUUUUCUCCCAUGGUAGCUUGAAAACCCUCUUAGCCACACACACUACAACUCGCCUCUUUCUCUCAAAAUUCUCUUCUCAACAGGCAUCAAUAAACAUGUUCAACUUCUAUUUUUCUUACCUUCCCAGGCUAAACGAAAUUAGCUCAAAACCCCCCAAAAUUCCAACUUCUUUAAUUUCUAGUUGCAUGUGCAAUUAACUUCACAAAUUGAGACUUUUGAGUGUUGGGAACUAAGGUAAGAGGAGUUAAAAUUCAGCUAAUCCCUUCCAUUUUUAUCAGAUUCGAACUCACCCUCACCACCUUGACCAAAGAUCUAAAUUCUCCAUUCCUCUUGUGAUGAUGCUUUUCAUGUGCAAAUCCCUACCCAAAUUCGUGUACUGGAGCUAAGGUAAUAAGAAUAAUCCCAUCUUUCAUUAGUUACUUUCUCUUCAGCUUUUGUUUUUAAUAGACAAGGGUUCCUGCAAUUACUUCAAAUUGUCUAAUUGAAGCUUUUACAUGGGUAAAAUUCCUUGUAACAACAAGUCUUAGAUGUUGGGAUUUAAGAAAUUAUGAUGGCAACGAGAUUUAGAAACCUUAAUGAACUGUUGUUGCUGUAUUAUGGGCUGGUGUUAUUGUUAAAACUGAUUUGGUAUGGUUAGAAUGGUUAUGGCUGAAUUCUAUGGAAUUUUAGUUAAAAAUUCGUAUGACAGUACAGGUGCUAAUCGAGUCAUAGCCGUUGCUGUGUAGCCCAGACUUGUGUAAUUGUUGCAUUUUCGGAUUCUACACCUAAUUCCCUUCAGUUUGGAUAUAAAUUUGGUAUGUUUUGGAUUAGAAAUAGAUUUGGAAAACGCGUUUGAAGUUGGAUAUUGAUGCUGGAAACUGCUUACGGGUUUUGGCAUGGAUUUUGCAGAAUAAGCUAAAUUGUGAGUUUAAGUUGGGUGAAGGAUUCCAUAACUGAUUAUGUAUGCUUAAUUGGCUGACUAAGAGUUUGGUUUGAAGUUGGAAUGCAAAAUUUAGAGGUUGGAAGUUACUAGCAGUUUUAUGCAGAAAAUCUAUCGCGAGUUUGCUUAUGCGAGCGACACCAUCGGAUGUUUCUAAGCGGGCGAGAUGGCUCGGUACUGCUAGCAAUUUUCAGAUAAGCAGAUUAAACGAGACAGGGGUAAGAAGAAACUAAGGAUUGAAGAUGGAAGAUUUUAUUACAUUAGUUUCUUCCUUGUGUUGUUAGAUUAGUAUGAUAGAUAUGUCUGAUGAGUAUUUACCGUUGUGUAAUGAAACUUUCUUUUCCUUGUAUCUGAUAUAGAAUUUAAGUACUUGUUUCUUUUGAACAAGCUAUUCUGUAAAUUUUAAUGUAUCCGGAUCUUAAUUAUGUAUAUUCUUG
Long non-coding RNA from Trifolium pratense (red clover), 1627 nucleotides. RefSeq lists it as uncharacterized. The record is from RefSeq and is a predicted model, not a curated record. NCBI's taxonomy places the organism in Eukaryota, Viridiplantae, Streptophyta, Magnoliopsida, Fabales, Fabaceae. The transcript has 2 exons.